Molecule: transfer RNA, 72 nt
Filed under: Ceramothamnion japonicum
Lineage: Eukaryota; Rhodophyta; Florideophyceae; Ceramiales; Ceramiaceae
Description: Ceramium japonicum tRNA-Asp
Rfam family: tRNA
About the family: Transfer RNA (tRNA) molecules are approximately 80 nucleotides in length. Their secondary structure includes four short double-helical elements and three loops (D, anti-codon, and T loops). Further hydrogen bonds mediate the characteristic L-shaped molecular structure. tRNAs have two regions of fundamental functional importance: the anti-codon, which is responsible for specific mRNA codon recognition, and the 3' end, to which the tRNAs corresponding amino acid is attached (by aminoacyl-tRNA synthetases). tRNAs cope with the degeneracy of the genetic code in two manners: having more than one tRNA (with a specific anti-codon) for a particular amino acid; and 'wobble' base-pairing, i.e. permitting non-standard base-pairing at the 3rd anti-codon position.
Source: RNAcentral
GGGAGAGUAACUCAAUGGUAGAGUGUUAGUCUGUCGCAUUAAAAAUUGUGGGUUCGAAUCCCACCUCUCUCG